UUGGAUAUGGAGCCAAAUCGCGUCCAAUCCGAAUUUUAUCAUAAACCGGUGGAGCCAAAGUGCGUCCACUAAUUUUGUACCAGAAACUUUGAUCAUGGUUGGAGCCAAAUUCGCGUCCAACCAAAUUUACACCAUGAACCAAACCGGAAAGGAGCCAAAGCGCAUCCAAUCCCAAUAUCACCGUGAACCUUUAACCGGGGUGGAGCCACAACACGUCCGACCCAAAUUAGAACUGAGGAAUGGAGCCAAAUCGUGUCCAAACCGAGUUUCACCGAGGCACAUCUGCUGGCCUUUCACUUUUGUACCGGGGCACGCAGCCCAUGCGCAUCGCGCGAUUGCGGCACUGCUGGCCGAACUUUUACCGGGGCACGAAGCCCAUGCGCAGAGCGCGACCAUCAUCGAUGCUUUUACCUUCCACCGGGGUAAGACCCAUGCACGCUGCUAAUUUGCAGCGACAUAGGCCAGCCGUUUACCGACGAUGAGAAACUGUCGAUGAAGUUUGGCUGUGUAGAUAUGGUUGUUGCCGGGCGCCGUAAAGCUGUGAAGAUGAAGAGACGGUGGAGAUCAGACGAGCGCCAUGAUGCGCUGCUCACCUUCCUUCGGGUCCUGCUGGAUGCCUCGACGACGCACAGUAACUUGUUGCAGGAGCACCUUCUGGGUCUCCGGCGGUGGCUUCGCUUAUCACGGCAGCAGCUCUGGAUAUGGUGGUUUGCUUUUCUGGCCGGCGAUCAGUGCGGCAGAGAGGAAGCCUGCGGUGGUUUGCUUGAGGG
Molecule: long non-coding RNA, 770 nt
Filed under: Sorghum bicolor (sorghum)
Lineage: Eukaryota; Viridiplantae; Streptophyta; Magnoliopsida; Poales; Poaceae
Description: long non-coding RNA (SBIC_LNC008924)
Source: RNAcentral